Molecule: ribosomal RNA, 659 nt
Filed under: uncultured fungus
Lineage: Eukaryota; Fungi
Description: eukaryotic LSU rRNA
Rfam family: Eukaryotic large subunit ribosomal RNA
Source: RNAcentral
CCCGCUGAACUUAAGCAUAUCAAUAAGCGGAGGAAAAGAAACUAACAAGGAUUCCCUUAGUAACUGCGAGUGAAGUGGGAAAAGCUCAAAUUUAGAAUCUGGCAGUCACUUGGCUGUCCGAGUUGUAAUCUAGAGAAGUGUUGCCCGUGCUGGACCAUGUACAAGUCUCCUGGAAUGGAGCAUCACAGAGGGUGAGAAUCCUGUCUUUGACAUGGACUGCCAGUGCUUUUGUGGUACGCUCUCAAAGAGUCGAGUUGUUUGGGAAUGCAGCUCAAAAUGGGUGGUAAAUGCCAUCUAAAGCUAAAUAUUGGCGAGAGACCGAUAGCGAACAAGUACCGUGAGGGAAAGAUGAAAAGAACUUUGGAAAGAGAGUGAAACAGUACGUGAAAUUGUUGAAAGGGAAACGCUUGAAGUCAGUCGCGCCGUUCGGGAUUCAGCCUUGCUUCUGCUCGGUUUACUUCCUGUUGGGUGGGUCAACAUCAGUUUUGGUCGGAGGAGAAAGGCUUGGGGAAUGUGGCAGCAUUCGUGCUGUGUUAUAGCCCCUUGUUGUAUACUUCGGCUGGGACUGAGGACCGCAGCACGCCUUUGGCCGGGGUUCGCCCACGUACGUGCUUAGGAUGUUGGCAUAAUGGCUUUAAGCGACCCGUCUUGAAACACGG